UGCAGUUAUAAUCGUUGUUAACUGUCGCCGGAGGGAACCAAAAUAAGGCCGUUUUUUUUCUGCGUAGAAGAAUGGGAAGAGUAGCAAGAGCCAGCAAUGUUACUGUAAAUUGACACGAAGCGUAAGAAGGCCUAUGAGAUUGACCAAAAAUCGUCCCACGAUCGACGCGUUGGACCUGCCUGCUUUACAUUAUGCCACAUAACCAGAAGUAAUCCAAGGCAACCGCAUAAAAGAGAAAACAGCUUUAUACUGUGCAGCAGAGUCCUUAAUCACAACAGCCUGUACAUGUGAAGA
Molecule: long non-coding RNA, 294 nt
Organism: Cryptotermes secundus
Lineage: Eukaryota; Metazoa; Arthropoda; Insecta; Blattodea; Kalotermitidae
Exons: 2
Source: RefSeq, a predicted model, not a curated record